Macaca mulatta (Rhesus monkey) is the source of this 148-nucleotide unclassified non-coding RNA. It matches the Rfam family "Metazoan signal recognition particle RNA". From Rfam's summary of the family: The signal recognition particle (SRP) is a universally conserved ribonucleoprotein. NCBI's taxonomy places the organism in Eukaryota, Metazoa, Chordata, Mammalia, Primates, Cercopithecidae. The record is from Ensembl.
GCUGGGCGUGGUGGCGCACGCCUGUAGUCCCAGCUUCUUAGGAGGCUGAGGCAGGAGAAUCGCUUGAACCCGGGAGGUAGAGGCUGCAGUGAGUCUAGAUCACACCACUGCACUCCAGCCUGGGCAACAGAACGAGACUCCGUCUCAA